RNAcentral lists this ribosomal RNA (468 nucleotides) under uncultured bacterium. RNAcentral's name for it is "partial 16S ribosomal RNA". It matches the Rfam family "Bacterial small subunit ribosomal RNA", at positions 28 to 507 of the family's 1533-position model. The record is from RNAcentral.
GACGAACGCUGGCGGCGUGCUUAACACAUGCAAGUCGAACGGAAAGGCCCUGCUUUUGUGGGGUGCUCGAGUGGCGAACGGGUGAGUAACACGUGAGUAACCUGCCCUUGACUUUGGGAUAACUUCAGGAAACUGGGGCUAAUACCGGAUAGGAGCUCCUGCUGCAUGGUGGGGGUUGGAAAGUUUCGGCGGUUGGGGAUGGACUCGCGGCUUAUCAGCUUGUUGGGGGGGUAGUGGCUUACCAAGGCUUUGACGGGUAGCCGGCCUGAGAGGGUGACCGGGCACAGGGGGACUGAGAGACGGCCCAGACUCCUACGGGAGGCAGCAGGGGGGAAUAUUGCACAAUGGGCGGAAGCCUGAUGCAGCAACGCCGCGUGCGGGAUGACGGCCUUCGGGUUGUAAACCGCUUUCGCCUGUGACGAAGCGGGAGUGACGGUAAUGGGUAAAGAAGCAACGGCUAACUACGUG